AUACGUAGGGGGCGAGCGUUGUCCGGAAUGAUUGGGCGUAAAGGGCGCGUAGGCGGCCCGGUAAGUCUGGAGUGAAAGUCCUGUUUUUAAGAUGGGAAUUGCUUUGGAUACUGUCGGGCUUGAGUGCAGGAGAGGUAAGUGGAAUUCCCAGUGUAGCGGUGAAAUGGGGAGAGAUUGGGAGGAACCUCAGUGGCGACGGCGACUUACGGGGCUGUAACUGACGCUUAGGCGCGAAAGUGUGGGGAGCAAACAGGAUUAGAUACCCUGGUAGUCCACACUGUAAACGAUGAAUUCUAGGUGUAGGGGGUAUCGACCCCUUCUGUGCCGCAGGCAACACAAUAAGCAUUCCGCCUGGGGAGUACGGCCGCAAGGUUGAAACUCAAAUGAAUUGACGGGG
This 397-nucleotide ribosomal RNA is filed under the name uncultured bacterium. RNAcentral's name for it is "partial 16S ribosomal RNA". It matches the Rfam family "Bacterial small subunit ribosomal RNA", at positions 523 to 918 of the family's 1533-position model. The record is from RNAcentral.